Long non-coding RNA from Hippocampus comes (tiger tail seahorse), 544 nucleotides. RefSeq lists it as uncharacterized. The transcript is spliced from 3 exons. The record is from RefSeq and is a predicted model, not a curated record. NCBI's taxonomy places the organism in Eukaryota, Metazoa, Chordata, Actinopteri, Syngnathiformes, Syngnathidae.
CAACUGUGUCUGAUGGAAGAGAUAUUGGUGUGAAACUGGGACAAAGAGGAGUGUUGGAGUGUGAGGCUGAUGCAGUGCCUGAACCUGACUUUGAGUGGUACAAAGAUGAUAGAAGAUUCAUCAAUGGCUUGGACGGCAUGGAGAUAGUGAAUACUGGAUCGCUGUCCAAACUGACAUUUUUUAACGUGUCCGAUAGUGACUAUGGUAACUACACUUGUGUUGCCAUCAACAAACUUGGGAGUUCUAAUACAAGCUUUAUAAUUUAUGGAUCGAGAGCAGUUCAGGAUGGCAGUGGAUCUGCACUGGGUGCGCACUUGGACACCUACCUCCUCACCAUACUGUUUCUGCCCUUUCUGCUCAAAUUUUGAAGAGGAAUGGAUUUCACCAAGUUUUGAACGUUUGAGCAAAAAUGACAUUUGUUUUUUUCAAAAUCUGCAAACGUACUGAUGCACAGCAGUCCACAAAGUUGCUCUGUUGUGAUGUUAUCCCAUACAUGUGAUCUAAUUUUAGACAGUUGUCUUUUUCUCUUUGAAUUACCGUAUUU